This 492-nucleotide long non-coding RNA is filed under the name Homo sapiens (human). RNAcentral's name for it is "non-protein coding lnc-AK8-1:1". Lineage: Eukaryota; Metazoa; Chordata; Mammalia; Primates; Hominidae. The record is from RNAcentral.
GGGGCUCAGUGUUCUGUUGAGUCUGUUUGAAUGUUAUCCCUUCAGUAAUCCUUAGGGAUAGGGAAAUGAGUACGUGAGUCAACUUGUGAUUUGUGAUUCUCUCAGUGUUUAGAGCCUCUUCAUGUACUGUACAAUGCCGAUCCUGGUGCCAGUGCCUGACAGACGUUUCCUGUUUGACCUUUUCUCCUGCAGAUGGACACUGACGUCGUUGUCCUCACAACAGGCGUCUUGGUGUUGAUAACCAUGCUACCAAUGAUUCCACAGUCUGGGAAACAGCAUCUUCUUGAUUUCUUUGACAUUUUUGGCCGUCUGUCAUCAUGGUGCCUGAAGAAACCAGGCCACGUGGCGGAAGUCUAUCUCGUCCAUCUCCAUGCCAGUGUGUACGCACUCUUUCAUCGCCUUUAUGGAAUGUACCCUUGCAACUUCGUCUCCUUUUUGCGUUCUCAUUACAGUAUGAAAGAAAACCUGGAGACUUUUGAAGAAGUGGUCAAG